AUUGAACGCUGGCGGCAUGCCUUACACAUGCAAGUCGAACGGUAACGGGUCCUUCGGGAUGCCGACGAGUGGCGAACGGGUGAGUAAUAUAUCGGAACGAGCCCAGUAGUGGGGGAUAACUGCUCGAAAGAGCAGCUAAUACCGCAUACGACCUGAGGGUGAAAGGGGGGGAUCGCAAGACCUCUCGCUAUUGGAGCGGCCGAUAUCAGAUUAGCUAGUUGGUGGGGUAAAGGCCUACCAAGGCAACGAUCUGUAGUUGGUCUGAGAGGACGACCAGCCACACUGGGACUGAGACACGGCCCAGACUCCUACGGGAGGCAGCAGUGGGGAAUUUUGGACAAUGGGCGCAAGCCUGAUCCAGCAAUGCCGCGUGCAGGAAGAAGGCCUUCGGGUUGUAAACUGCUUUUGUCAGGGAAGAAAUCUUCUGGGCUAAUACCUCGGGAGGAUGACGGUACCUGAAGAAUAAGCACCGGCUAACUACGUGCCAGCAGCCGCGGUAA
Molecule: ribosomal RNA, 500 nt
Filed under: uncultured bacterium
Lineage: Bacteria
Description: partial 16S ribosomal RNA
Rfam family: Bacterial small subunit ribosomal RNA
Source: RNAcentral